Long non-coding RNA from Actinia tenebrosa (Australian red waratah sea anemone), 664 nucleotides. RefSeq lists it as uncharacterized. The record is from RefSeq and is a predicted model, not a curated record. NCBI's taxonomy places the organism in Eukaryota, Metazoa, Cnidaria, Anthozoa, Actiniaria, Actiniidae.
GCUAGGUUCACUGGUGAUUUUCUUCAUACUUACAGGGCACUGAAGUCACUGUGAUCAAGAAGGCAGUGCUUCCAGAUCGAGGCUCCUAUUGCACUUCAGGAGCUGUAACUCUGCGUGCUCCCUAAGUAUAGGGUGCACGGUGUACAAUUUUUGGUAGUAGGGUUGACCUGCGUACGCGCUUGUCUACCCGUCCAACAAAACAAAAUCAAUUCUGUUCUAACCUGAAGACUCAAUUCCUUUCUACUUGAGAGGAGAGUGAUAAGUGCUAUUCAUAGGCUUCAUUUAUUGCUAUUUCAGGCUCUGCUUGGUGGUUGAACGAAAAUAAUAUUACACUGAAAUAAUCAUUUAAAAAGUCAAAGAUUUUCAUAUGAUUGUUCCUAGCUGUAACGACUACACAUUUGUGCAAGUAAUACAGACAAAGGGGGCCGAUGCUGAAAGAUGCUGACGAAACAACCUAUAUGGAGCUGCAGCAAGAAGAAAGGUUGAUAAUCAACUUCAUAAACCAAGUUAUCUGUGAGCUGCGUCAAAGACAAUAAUAUAUCCAAGAUAAAGGUAAUGCAUUAAGUGCGCUAACAUCUAGCUGAGAAAAGGAAGGCAGACAAAGAUCCUCGUCAAAAGUCUGGACACUUUCAACCUCUCUUUUGGCCGAGGACGUGGAUCGAGG